CAGCAGCCGCGGGAAUACGAAGGGGGCUAGCGUUGCUCGGAAUGACUGGGCGUAAAGGGCGCGUAGGCGGCGAUCAAAGUCAGGCGUGAAAUUCCUGGGCUCAACCUGGGGGCUGCGUUUGAUACUUGGUUGCUAGAGUGAGGAAGAGGGUCGUGGAAUUCCCAGUGUAGAGGUGAAAUUCGUAGAUAUUGGGAAGAACACCGGUGGCGAAGGCGGCGACCUGGUCCUUGACUGACGCUGAGGCGCGAAAGCGUGGGGAGCAAACAGAAUUAGAUACCCGGGUAGUCCCUGUCUCUUAUAU
RNAcentral lists this ribosomal RNA (301 nucleotides) under uncultured bacterium. Its description in RNAcentral is "partial 16S ribosomal RNA". It matches the Rfam family "Bacterial small subunit ribosomal RNA", at positions 509 to 809 of the family's 1533-position model. The record is from RNAcentral.